GGAGAGAUGGCUCAGUGGUUAAGAGCACUGACUGUUCUUCCAGAGGACCUGGGUUCAAUUCCCAGCACCCCCA
RNAcentral lists this transfer RNA (73 nucleotides) under Neotoma lepida (desert woodrat). It matches the Rfam family "tRNA". From Rfam's summary of the family: Transfer RNA (tRNA) molecules are approximately 80 nucleotides in length. Their secondary structure includes four short double-helical elements and three loops (D, anti-codon, and T loops). Further hydrogen bonds mediate the characteristic L-shaped molecular structure. tRNAs have two regions of fundamental functional importance: the anti-codon, which is responsible for specific mRNA codon recognition, and the 3' end, to which the tRNAs corresponding amino acid is attached (by aminoacyl-tRNA synthetases). tRNAs cope with the degeneracy of the genetic code in two manners: having more than one tRNA (with a specific anti-codon) for a particular amino acid; and 'wobble' base-pairing, i.e. permitting non-standard base-pairing at the 3rd anti-codon position. The record is from Rfam by way of RNAcentral. Lineage: Eukaryota; Metazoa; Chordata; Mammalia; Rodentia; Cricetidae.